AGAAUGUGGACGUGGAACAAAAUCAGCAGAACCAGUCACUACUUCCCUUGCGCUGUGGAUUCAUGUGCGUUAUUGUUUAUCUUUGAAUGCAAAAGUGUUUAUUGCAAACGGGGAUUGCAAUUAUUUCCUGAUAUAACUGUACUGGCUUCUCAGUAAACCGACUCUGAACACCCAUGCCCGCCUCAGAUUGUUGCCUUCGUCUCUGCAGAUGAUGACCAGCUCUGUCUUUAAAGGAUAGGACAAGACAUCCCCCACAUGGUUCCAGCCUAGAGCUACAGGACCCUGAGACAUUAGUUUAACAGAACAAGUUUCUCUGCCCAGAUUGAGACUAGGGGUAAUGUUCCCCUGCUCAGACGUUGCAUUCAUCAGCCAAUGGUUGCCUGCCACGCCAUCAACUGUGUCAUCGACUGACAGAUUGCUAUAACAUGAUUUGGUUAGUUGAAACUUAAAAUACAUAUCCAGGCUAUGUGAGGUCAGGCGUCAGCAACUUCUGAGCAGAGGAACGCGCCUUACAUUAACUCAAAAGGGAGGGAGGAGAUUUACUACAUAGCGUUAGCCUGAAUCAACUCAAAAUGGCUGCUGUCGUUUCUUUACCUAUCGUGAGACUCCACAGACUAACGGAGGAUCAACUGUCUCUCGCUGCUCAGAAGAACAAUAACAAACCAGGCAGAAAACCAACGAAGAAYAACAACUUCACCACCAGYGGAAAGAAACAAUCCACAGGAAAAGGAAAUGACUCUGCUGACAGCAAAAGUGUUUCUAGCCAGGAAUCACCGGCCCCUAAGUGGUGGGGUCGCCCCAAGGGAACCAAAAACAAACCCAAAAUAAGUCUACAACUCUCCAGCGCCAUCUUGAGGCCUGAUGAGAUAAAACAAGAGAACAAUGACCCAACACACCUUCAGGCUGUGUAAGGGC
Salvelinus sp. IW2-2015 is the source of this 915-nucleotide non-coding RNA. NCBI's taxonomy places the organism in Eukaryota, Metazoa, Chordata, Actinopteri, Salmoniformes, Salmonidae. The record is from RefSeq and is a predicted model, not a curated record.